ACUUUAUUGUUUGGAUAGAAAACCUCUUAUUCUUGGUAUAACGUGUUUAGAUCACAUCACGUUCCUCGCCUGUAUACAGAGAAGUUUGUCAACUUUCCUUGUCAAAAAAGACAGAUCAUUCAUUCUGUUACAAAUGCAGAUUGUUGCAUUUUUAUUGACACCUAAACCCAGAGUGUAACUAUCUGCUGGAUGUCAAUCCGUCGCUGACAUCUUUUUCUGAAGUAGUAUUUCCCUUAAAUCAUACUUUAAUAAAGGCCCUACACUGCCAUUAGGUUUCACUUGUUUUUUGUGAUUAGCAAAUCAUCAGCAUGGCACCUUCAUCCCGUCAAGAGCAAGUUUGAGCAACCAGCUUACUUACAAAGUUUUCAUGUGGCACCUUCAGUUUUUCAAAGGCUUCUUUUGAAACACAGACCGUAUUUGUCUUCCCUCUCUAGGAACUCUUUCCUGCCAUACGAGGGCUGAGGAAAGAAAACAACAGAAAACAUGACAAGGAUAUGAGGGAACCAUUUGAAGAAAGAAAGCUUCUCAAAGGAACUCUUUCCUGCUGUACAAGGGCUGAGGAAAGAAAACAACAGAAAACAUGACAAGGAUAUAAGGUAACCAUUUGAAGAAAGAAAACUUCUCAAAGAUAUAGCUUUGGAGCCAAACCCUUCUGAUGAUCUUCCUCCGAAAAUUUCAAACACAGUCUUCCUCUGAAAAUCUCAAGCAAAUGGUGACACUGCAUUGUUUUUUCCACCAGGAAGAGGACUGAAAACGCUCUGUCAUAAUGAGUGUAUUAUAGAAAAGAUUUAGAGAAACUUACAUUGGUUUAAAUGUUUCAGCUUUUCAUAUAUUCACUUGUCCUAUUUUAACAUGUGAUAUACUUCUCUUAGUUGUUACUAUGUUAGUGAAAAUCAUGUAAAUUUGUGUUUAUACAUUUUGCUACCUUUCAUCAAUGUAAUUUGCCACGUGAUUUAAGCAUAGUCAUAGAUUUAUCUUUAUUUAUUCAUAAUUCUUUGUCUUUUGCCCUUUCCCCUUGCUCCAAAGGGUUCAUUUUAAUGAUGAAUGAUAGAAUUUAGGCUUCAGCUUGGUUUUUAUUAAAACAAAUAAAAAAAUCAGUUGUUCAUCAGUGGGGAUUGAAUUUGUGAUUUCAGCCUCCUCUUAUAUGGUGCUCUAACCACAUGAGUUUAUCACAUCCAAGUUUAUGCUACUCAAAACUUUUAGGAUAUUAACCUUUUCAUGUUAAUGUAAUAUAAAUGUAAACAUCCACUACUUCUGCUUUUUUUUAAAUGUUAUGUUAAAUCCUAGUUUGUUUGAUUAAAAAGUCAUAUACAACCAAGUUUUUUAGUUGAUUUCAACAGCAAGAAUACAAAUGAGUGUUCUAGAAUAAUAUUUGAAGUAAUGCAGCACAAUAAAAUAUGGGUUUUGGUGGGGCUCAGUGGCUCAUGCCUGUAAUCCCAGCACUUUGGGAGGUCGAGGCAGGUGGAUCACAAGAUCAGGAGAUCGAGACCAUCCUGGCCAACAUGGGGAAACACCAUCUCUACUAAAAAUACAAAAAUCAGCUGGGUGUGGUGGUGCAUGCCUGUGGUCCCAGCUACUUGGGAGGCUGAGGCAAAAGAAUCACUUGAACCCAGAAGGCAGAGGUUCCAAUGAGCUGAGAUAGAGCCACUGCAUUCCAUUCUGGGAGACAGAGCCAGACUCUGUCUCAAAAAAAAUAGGUUUUUAAUGUGCUUUUAUGGUUUGUAUAGAUUUUCCAGUCAUUUCUGGUCAGGAUUUGUGUUUGCUCACUUUUGCAUUGCUACAAAGAAAUACCCAAGGCUAUGUAAUUUAUUUUAAAAAGUGUAAUUGGCUCCUAGUUCUGCAGGCUUUACAAACAUGGCUUCAACACCUGCUUCUGGUGAGGUCCUCAGUGAGCUUACACUCAUGAUGGAAGGCAAAGGGAGGGCAGGUGGUUUCACGUGAGAGAGGGGAAGGGGGAAGGGGCCACACACUUAACCAGCUCUCAUGCAAAUUACCAGAAUGAGAAUUUGAUCAUUAUUGUGAGGAUGGCACCCAGCCAUUCAUAAGGAAUCCACCACCAUUACCCAAACACCUCCCAGGAGGCCCUAUUUUCAACACUGACAUCCACAUAUUCAGAUGAGAUCUGGAGGGGGGAAGUAUCUAAAUCAUAUCAGAAUUAUAUUUCUCAGUUCCUUCCAGAGCCAUAGGCCUCUCACAGAGUGUGUGGAAGCAGUGAAAGAAAAGUUAAAGCUUUUUCAUGUCCCUCAGUCUUCAGAGGGAGGAGUGUUUGCCUCCAAGGCCUUCCAGCAUCAAAGGAAGAGGCAGUAUAGGAAACAAAGCAGGGCUCAAGUCUCUCUUGGAGCUUUUAUUUUUCUGGCCUUUGUUAGAAAAAAAGAUGAUUUUGUUUGCUGCAGAUACUAUGUCUAGUUAGGUUUGCAUAUUCAUUUUAAAAUUUAAAUUUAAGGUAGGUUACUUUCCAGUUGUGCAAAGACCCCCUUUUUUGUUGUUGUUAAUGACAUACUUGUAGAUGGCCAAUACAUGAUUUGAGAUGCUCACAGGGAUUCUGGUGCAUCCAGAGAUUUGUACUUAGUCAUGAACUAGUUCUUAAAGCUGCUACCUCUUAGAUUCUGGUAAUUAGAGUAAGCUAUGUGUAAAUGCAGAAUGAGAAAAUACUAAUGAAUCAUGGCUCAUAUAUGCAACAGUUAAACUUAUUUAUUAGCUAAAUUUCUCAUCUGACUUAAUUUGUUAUGCUUUUUUUUUACAAGAAGAUUUUUAAAUUUGAAUGUAAUAGAAUAUUUUUUUCCCUUCCAAGAUGGAGUCUUGCCCUAUCACCCAGAGCUAAUGUGCAGCAGCACUAUCUCGGCUCACUGCAACCUCCCUCUGCCUCCUGAGUUCAAUCAAUUCUCCUGCCUCAGCCUCCUGAGUAGCUGGGAUAACACUCGUGUGCCACCACCCCCAGCUAAGAAUGUAAUAGAAUAUCUGUUAGGACAAAAGGUAAAAUCAACAUUUUAUAUUUUACUUUAUGAGAUUUAUUUUUAUUUUUUUAUUUUUUUAAGACAGGGUUUCUCCAUGUUGGUCAGGCUGGUCUUGAACUCCCAACCUCAGGUGAUCCACCCACCUUGGCCUCCAAAGUGCUUGGAUUACAGGCGUGAGCCACCACACCCAGUCCAUACUUUAUUAGAUUUAUUAUGCCAUGUAAUUUAAAUUUUCAAUUAUUGGAAAUUAUUUUUAAUGGAAUUUUGUCUCACUUUGCAUGGGGGUAAUCAAUCAGAUGUUAGCAACUACUUUAUUUUAUAAUAUUUGAAUCAGAACUGAUUUUUUUAAUUCUUGGUGAAAGGAAAAAGAGCAACUACAUAAACCAUGUAAGUAAAUAGUCACAAAGUUAAGAAAUUCAUAGUUUGCUGUAAAAUAUUGAUUCCUUAAAAAUAAAAUGGGAGGCCAGGCACGGUGGCUCAUGCCUGUAAUCCCAGCACUUUGGGAGGCCGAGGCGGGCACAUCACGAGGUCAAGAGAUCGAGCCCAUCCUGACCAACAUGGUGAAACCCCAUCUCUAUUAAAAAUACAAAAAUUAACUGGGCAUGGUGGUGUGCACUUGUAGUCCCAGCUACUUGGGAGGCUAAGGCAGGAGAAUUGCUUGAAUCCAGGAGACGGAGGUUGCAGUGAGCCAAGAUUGUGCCACUGCACUCCAGCCUGGUGACAGAGUGAGACUCUGUCUCAAAAAAUAAUAUCAUAUAAUAUAACAUAAUAUAAUAUAAUAUAAUGUAAUAAAAUAAAGUCAGGACUCCAUCCUGCUAGAAUAGAACUCUUUUUGUGAACUUUGUAAAUCUCUUCUAUCUUUCCAAGUAUCAAAUUUAUGCAGUAAAGUCUUUAUUAGUAUGUUCACUUUUUCAAGGAUCUGAUAUGUAAGCUAAAUUUUAAGAA
Molecule: long non-coding RNA, 3899 nt
Organism: Callithrix jacchus (white-tufted-ear marmoset)
Lineage: Eukaryota; Metazoa; Chordata; Mammalia; Primates; Cebidae
Source: RefSeq, a predicted model, not a curated record